Molecule: ribosomal RNA, 497 nt
Filed under: uncultured bacterium
Lineage: Bacteria
Description: partial 16S ribosomal RNA
Rfam family: Bacterial small subunit ribosomal RNA
Source: RNAcentral
GAUGAACGCUGGCGGCGUGCCUAAUACAUGCAAGUCGAGCGAACAGACGAGGAGCUUGCUCCUCUGACGUUAGCGGCGGACGGGUGAGUAACACGUGGAUAACCUACCUAUAAGACUGGGAUAACUUCGGGAAACCGGAGCUAAUACCGGAUAAUAUAUUGAACCGCAUGGUUCAAUAGUGAAAGACGGUUUUGCUGUCACUUAUAGAUGGAUCAGCGCCGCAUUAGCUAGUUGGUAAGGUAACGGCUUACCAAGGCAACGAUGCGUAGCCGACCUGAGAGGGUGAUCGGCCACACUGGAACUGAGACACGGUCCAGACUCCUACGGGAGGCAGCAGUAGGGAAUCUUCCGCAAUGGGCGAAAGCUUGACGGAGCAACGCCGCGUGAGUGAUGAAGGUCUUCGGAUCGUAAAACUCUGUUAUUAGGGAAGAACAAAUGUGUAAGUAACUAUGCACGUCUUGACGGUACCUAAUCAGAAAGCCACGGCUAACUACGUG